AGGGUUUCCGCCCUUUAGUGCUGCAGCAAACGCAUUAAGCACUCCGCCUGGGGAGUACGGCCGCAAGGCUGAAACUCAAAGGAAUUGACGGGGGCCCGCACAAGCGGUGGAGCAUGUGGUUUAAUUCGAAGCAACGCGAAGAACCUUACCAGGUCUUGACAUCCUCUGACAAUCCUAGAGAUAGGACGUUCCCCUUUUAGGGGACAGAGUGACAGGUGGUGCAUGGUUGUCGUCAGCUCGUGUCGUGAGAUGUUGGGUUAAGUCCCGCAACGAGCGCAACCCUUGAUCUUAGUUGCCAGCAUUCAGUUGGGCACUCUAAGGUGACUGCCGGUGACAAACCGGAGGAAGGUGGGGAUGACGUCAAAUCAUCACGCCCCUUAUGACCUGGGCUACACACGUGCUACAAUGGAUGGUACAAAGGGCUGCAAGACCGCGAGGUUUAGCCAAUCCCAUAAAACCAUUCUCAGUUCGGAUUGCAGGCUGCAACUCGCCUGCAUGAAGCCGGAAUCGCUAGUAAUCGCGGAUCACCAUGCCGCGGUGAAUACUUUCCCGGGCCUUGUACACACCGCCCGUCACACCACGAGAGUUUGUAACACCCGAAUUCGGUGGGGUAACCGUA
This 619-nucleotide ribosomal RNA is filed under the name bacterium. RNAcentral describes it as "bacterial SSU rRNA". It matches the Rfam family "Bacterial small subunit ribosomal RNA", at positions 827 to 1443 of the family's 1533-position model. The record is from RNAcentral.